GGCCCAGGAGCGUAAGGGAUAGCGUGUUGGACUUCUCAUCCAAAGGGCGUGGGUUCGAAUUUCACCUGGGAUGGCCU
Molecule: non-coding RNA, 77 nt
Organism: Trichonephila inaurata madagascariensis
Lineage: Eukaryota; Metazoa; Arthropoda; Arachnida; Araneae; Nephilidae
Source: the annotation of a GenBank genome assembly